This 459-nucleotide ribosomal RNA is filed under the name uncultured bacterium. RNAcentral describes it as "partial 16S ribosomal RNA". It matches the Rfam family "Bacterial small subunit ribosomal RNA", at positions 338 to 795 of the family's 1533-position model. The record is from RNAcentral.
CCUACGGGAGACUGCAGUGAGGAAUAUUGGUCAAUGGACGAGAGUCUGAACCAGCCAAGUAGCGUGAAGGAUGACUGCCCUAUGGGUUGUAAACUUCUUUUAUAUGGAAAUAAAAUGUUCCACGUGUGGGAUUUUGUAUGUACCAUAUGAAUAAGGAUCGGCUAACUCCGUGCCAGCAGCCGCGGUAAUACGGAGGAUCCGAGCGUUAUCCGGAUUUAUUGGGUUUAAAGGGAGCGUAGGUGGAUUGUUAAGUCAGUUGUGAAAGUUUGGGGCUCAACCGUAAAAUUGCAGUUGAAACUGCAGUCUUGAGUACAGUAGAGGUGGGCGGAAUUCGUGGUGUAGCGGUGAAAUGCUUAGAUAUCACGAAGAACUCCGAUUGCGAAGGCAGUUCACUGGACUGCAACUGACACUGAGGCUCGAAAGUGUGGGUAUCAAACAGGAUUAGAUACCCCGGUAGUC